GACGAACGCUGGCGGCGUGCUUAACACAUGCAAGUCGAACGCUGAAGCUUGGUGCUUGUACUGGGUGGAUGAGUGGCGAACGGGAGAGGAAUACGUGAGUAACCUGCCCUUGACUCUGGGAUAAGCCUGGGAAACUGGGUCUAAUACUGGAUACGACAUGUCACCGCAUGGUGGCGUGGGGGAAGGGGUUUACUGUUUGUGGAUGGGCUCCCGGCCUAUUAGCUUGUUGGUGGGGUAAUGGCUCACCAAGGCGACGACGGGUAGCCGGCCUGAGUGGGUGACCGGCCCCACUGGGACUGAGACACGGCCCAGACUCCUACGGGAGGCAGCAGUGGGGAAUAUUGCACAAUGGUCGGAAGCCUGAUGCAGCGACGCCGCGUGAGGGAUGACGGCCUUCGGGUUGUAAACCUCUUUCAGCACGGAAGAAGCGAAAGUGACGGUACGUGCAGAAGAAGCGCCGGCUAACUACGUG
RNAcentral lists this ribosomal RNA (472 nucleotides) under uncultured bacterium. RNAcentral describes it as "partial 16S ribosomal RNA". It matches the Rfam family "Bacterial small subunit ribosomal RNA", at positions 28 to 507 of the family's 1533-position model. The record is from RNAcentral.